This 468-nucleotide ribosomal RNA is filed under the name uncultured bacterium. RNAcentral describes it as "partial 16S ribosomal RNA". It matches the Rfam family "Bacterial small subunit ribosomal RNA", at positions 28 to 507 of the family's 1533-position model. The record is from RNAcentral.
GACGAACGCUGGCGGCGUGCUUAACACAUGCAAGUCGAACGGAAAGGCCCUGCUUUUGUGGGGUGCUCGAGUGGCGAACGGGUGAGUAACACGUGAGUAACCUGCCCUUGACUUUGGGAUAACUUCAGGAAACUGGGGCUAAUACCGGAUAGGAGCUCCUGCUGCAUGGUGGGGGUUGGAAAGUUUCGGCGGUUGGGGAUGGACUCGCGGCUUAUCAGCUUGUUGGUGGGGUAGUGGCUUACCAAGGCUUUGACGGGUAGCCGGCCUGAGAGGGUGACCGGCCACAUUGGGACUGAGAUACGGACCAGACUCCUACGGGAGGCAGCAGUGGGGAAUAUUGCACGAUGGGCGGAAGCCUGAUGCAGCAACGCCGCGUGCGGGAUGACGGCCUUCGGGUUGUAAACCGCUUUCGCCUGUGACGAAGCGUGAGUGACGGUAAUGGGUAAAGAAGCACCGGCUAACUACGUG